This is a long non-coding RNA of Oreochromis aureus, 1570 nucleotides long. The record is from Ensembl. NCBI's taxonomy places the organism in Eukaryota, Metazoa, Chordata, Actinopteri, Cichliformes, Cichlidae.
AGGAUGUCUAUGGAAGAAAUAUAGUAUCAUCAGAAUCCAACUAUUUUUAGACAUUGAAUUUAUAACACUGAAUUUUUAUCCUCCAAAUUUCCCUGCAAAAACCGUUUCCUUGUAAAACUCCACAGCAGAAACGUAUCUUAAGAGGCAUUUUGCUGGAUUCAAGCAGAGCGGCACACUUGCCAGACCAACAGAAGCGUGUGAGGCGUAUCGAUUCAUGGCGCCAUCUAUAAACGGCAUUUCCCCAACACCUUUUGCAUUCAUGCAGCCCAGGAUCAUCACACUGCCACCUCUGUGCUUUGUUGUCUGGAUUAUGCAUUCACUGUGGUAGUGCUGGCCAGGUUAAAUCCAAUCAUGCUCGACCCUGUAUGAGUGGAACCAAUUAAUCUUGGUGUCAUCUGCCUAAGGAAUGCACUCCCAGUAUAGAACAGGCUUCUUUUCACUUUCACAUUCUUUAGUAAAAGUUUUAUCUGGAAGUUUGUUUUUUUAACGGACAAAAGGUCAGUGUUAUGCAUUGUCCUUCCCACUGUCUGAGCUACGUCAAGUCUUGCCCGUCUGUUUUUCAGAGCUAGACGGUGCAAGUAACACAUUUCCAUGGCAUCAUUACAGGAUCUGUGAUUAAUGCUACGCUUCAUUUUCUGCUUCCUCAUUACUGCUGAAAAUGUGGUAGAGCUGAAUUUUAGUUGGUCGCAGAUCUCCCUGUAUCCUUCUGUAGCACUGGGGUUUAUUUAAAUUCUCAUAUUUGUUUUCUUUCAGUUGUAUUUCAGGGAUUAGGACAUUUCUUCCAUUUAUUUGUUUUUUAUAGUUCAUAAUUAACUACUGUUAUUGGCAGCUUAAACAGAAUGCAUUUAUUGAGACAGUUUUGAAUUGUUUAGCAUUGAAGGCAUGUAUUUUAUUUCUAUUUAUAAUAUAUGCACAUUUUUAAUUUAAUACCAGCAACACAUUUAAAUGUAAAAAACUGGCAUGUCCACCAGUGCUGCAUCACCCUUUCUGCUCUUUUAACUGCUUAAAGUUUGAUUCUUUUUGGCCAAUUCAAUGGGUCACGGGCCAUCAGCCUCCAUCCUUGAAAAACACAUAACGUAGAUGGCGGCAUAUGUUGCUGUAAAAGCUCUGUACAUCGUUAGCAAUAAUGGUGCCUUCACAGAUGUGCAAGUUAAAUGUGCCAUGUUCACUAAAGCCUCUCCACACCCAAGGCUGUUGACAAGCCAGAUGGUCCCUCUCCUUUAGUCUCAUCGAUGUUUUGUCCAUGAUUUUUAAAAACAAAAAAGUUUGACUGGAUAAACCACAUGAAAGACUUCCUCUUUGUGUCUGUCGAUCUUAAAUGAGCUCUAUAUUAUGUUUAUAUUAUGUUUUCUGUCAUCAGAUGAUGAUGAAACUUUUAACUUGCAUUUGUUGUAGGGACAAAGUGCAAUCAAUGAGAAGGUAAAUACAGUUUUUCAAAAGUGUUCUUGUACCCAUUCAGCGAUUUCCACUACAGAAUUAUAUCUGUUUUCUGAUGCAGGGCCUUCUGAGUACCCAGAGAUCACAGCUGUUUAAUACUGGUUUUAGGCCUUGUCCUUAUGCAUAGAGUUCU